This 162-nucleotide small nuclear RNA is filed under the name Dasypus novemcinctus (nine-banded armadillo). RNAcentral describes it as "U1 spliceosomal RNA (ENSDNOG00000026567.1)". It matches the Rfam family "U1 spliceosomal RNA". Rfam says of the family: U1 is a small nuclear RNA (snRNA) component of the spliceosome (involved in pre-mRNA splicing). Its 5' end forms complementary base pairs with the 5' splice junction, thus defining the 5' donor site of an intron. There are significant differences in sequence and secondary structure between metazoan and yeast U1 snRNAs, the latter being much longer (568 nucleotides as compared to 164 nucleotides in human). The record is from RNAcentral. Lineage: Eukaryota; Metazoa; Chordata; Mammalia; Cingulata; Dasypodidae.
AUACUUAACCUGGCAGGGACGAUACCAUGAUUACGAAGGCUUUCCCAGGGUAAGGCUUAUCCUUUGUGCUCUGGAUGUGCUGACCACUGCAAUUUCCCCAAAUGUGGGAAACUCGACUGCAUAAUAUGUGGUAGUGGGAUACUGUGUUUGCGCUCUCCCCCC